RNAcentral lists this transfer RNA (77 nucleotides) under Pseudomonadota bacterium. RNAcentral's name for it is "tRNA-Pro". It matches the Rfam family "tRNA". From Rfam's summary of the family: Transfer RNA (tRNA) molecules are approximately 80 nucleotides in length. The record is from RNAcentral. Lineage: Bacteria; Pseudomonadati; Pseudomonadota.
CGGGGUGUAGCUCAGCCUGGUAGAGUACUUGCAUGGGGUGCAAGGGGUCGCAGAUUCGAAUCCUGUCACCCCGACCA